Molecule: ribosomal RNA, 2889 nt
Filed under: Acinetobacter baumannii ATCC 19606 = CIP 70.34 = JCM 6841
Lineage: Bacteria; Pseudomonadati; Pseudomonadota; Gammaproteobacteria; Moraxellales; Moraxellaceae
Description: bacterial LSU rRNA
Rfam family: Bacterial large subunit ribosomal RNA
Source: RNAcentral
CAAGUAAUUAAGUGCAUGUGGUGGAUGCCUUGGCAGUCAGAGGCGAUGAAAGACGUGAUAGCCUGCGAAAAGCUCCGGGGAGGCGGCAAAUAUCCUUUGAUCCGGAGAUGUCUGAAUGGGGGAACCCACCUACUUUAAGGUAGGUAUUGCAACAUGAAUACAUAGUGUUGCAAGGCGAACGAGGGGAAGUGAAACAUCUCAGUACCCUUAGGAAAAGAAAUCAAUUGAGAUUCCCUCAGUAGCGGCGAGCGAACGGGGAUCAGCCCAUUAAGUUAUGUGUGUUUUAGUGGAACGCUCUGGGAAGUGCGAACGUAGAGGGUGAUAUUCCCGUACACGAAAGGGCACACAUAAUGAUGACGAGUAGGGCGAGGCACGUGAAACCUUGUCUGAAUAUGGGGGGACCAUCCUCCAAGGCUAAAUACUCCUGACUGACCGAUAGUGAACCAGUACCGUGAGGGAAAGGCGAAAAGAACCCCUGUGAGGGGAGUGAAAUAGAUCCUGAAACCGCAUGCAUACAAGCAGUGGGAGCACCUUUGUGGUGUGACUGCGUACCUUUUGUAUAAUGGGUCAGCGACUUAUAUUCAGUAGCGAGGUUAACCGUAUAGGGGAGCCGUAGAGAAAUCGAGUCUUAAUAGGGCGUUUAGUUGCUGGGUAUAGACCCGAAACCAGGCGAUCUAUCCAUGAGCAGGUUGAAGGUUGGGUAACACUAACUGGAGGACCGAACCCACUGUCGUUGAAAAGCCAGGGGAUGACUUGUGGAUAGGGGUGAAAGGCUAAUCAAGCCUGGUGAUAGCUGGUUCUCCCCGAAAGCUAUUUAGGUAGCGCCUCGGACGAAUACCAUAGGGGGUAGAGCACUGUUUCGGCUAGGGGGUCAUCCCGACUUACCAAACCGAUGCAAACUCCGAAUACCUAUGAGUACUAUCCGGGAGACAGACUGCGGGUGCUAACGUCCGUAGUCAAGAGGAAAACAAUCCAGACCGCCAGCUAAGGCCCCAAAAUCAUAGUUAAGUGGGAAACGAUGUGGGAAGGCAUAGACAGCUAGGAGGUUGGCUUAGAAGCAGCCACCCUUUAAAGAAAGCGUAAUAGCUCACUAGUCGAGUCGGCCUGCGCGGAAGAUGUAACGGGGCUAAAACUAUGUGCCGAAGCUGCGGAUGUAUACUUUGUAUACGUGGUAGGGGAGCGUUCUGUAAGCCGAUGAAGGUGUGUUGAGAAGCAUGCUGGAGGUAUCAGAAGUGCGAAUGCUGACGUGAGUAACGACAAAACGGGUGAAAAACCCGUUCGCCGAAAGACCAAGGGUUCCAGUCCAACGUUAAUCGGGGCUGGGUGAGUCGACCCCUAAGGCGAGGCCGAAAGGCGUAGUCGAUGGGAAAAUGGUUAAUAUUCCAUUACUUCUGUGUAAUGCGAUGAGAGGACGGAGAAGGCUAAAUCAGCCUGGCGUUGGUUGUCCAGGUGAAAGGAUGUAGGCAUGUAUCUUAGGCAAAUCCGGGGUACUCUAUGCUGAGAUCUGAUAGCAAGCUGUACUUGUACAGCGAAGUGGUUGAUGCCAUGCUUCCAGGAAAAGUCUCUAAGCUUCAGUUACACAGGAAUCGUACCCGAAACCGACACAGGUGGUCAGGUCGAGUAGACCAAGGCGCUUGAGAGAACUCUGCUGAAGGAACUAGGCAAAAUGGUACCGUAACUUCGGGAGAAGGUACGCUGUUGUUGGUGAUGGAACUCGCUUCCUGAGCUGACGACAGCCGCAGAAACCAGGCCGCUGCAACUGUUUAUUAAAAACAUAGCACUCUGCAAACACGAAAGUGGACGUAUAGGGUGUGAUGCCUGCCCGGUGCUGGAAGGUUAAUUGAUGGGGUUAGCGUAAGCGAAGCUCUUGAUCGAAGCCCCAGUAAACGGCGGCCGUAACUAUAACGGUCCUAAGGUAGCGAAAUUCCUUGUCGGGUAAGUUCCGACCUGCACGAAUGGCAUAAUGAUGGCGGCGCUGUCUCCAGCAGAGGCUCAGUGAAAUCGAAAUCGCUGUGAAGAUGCAGUGUACCCGCGGCUAGACGGAAAGACCCCGUGAACCUUUACUGCAGCUUGACACUGAACUUUGACCUUACUUGUGUAGGAUAGGUGGGAGGCUUUGAAGCUGGAACGCUAGUUCCAGUGGAGCCGUCCUUGAAAUACCACCCUGGUAAUGUUGAGGUUCUAACUCUGUCCCGUGAUCCGGGACGAGGACCGUGUCUGGUGGGUAGUUUGACUGGGGCGGUCUCCUCCUAAAGAGUAACGGAGGAGUACGAAGGUGCGCUCAGCGUGGUCGGAAAUCACGCGUAGAGUAUAAAGGCAAAAGCGCGCUUAACUGCGAGACCCACAAGUCGAGCAGGUACGAAAGUAGGUCUUAGUGAUCCGGUGGUUCUGUAUGGAAGGGCCAUCGCUCAACGGAUAAAAGGUACUCUGGGGAUAACAGGCUGAUACCGCCCAAGAGUUCAUAUCGACGGCGGUGUUUGGCACCUCGAUGUCGGCUCAUCUCAUCCUGGGGCUGAAGCAGGUCCCAAGGGUAUGGCUGUUCGCCAUUUAAAGAGGUACGCGAGCUGGGUUUAGAACGUCGUGAGACAGUUCGGUCCCUAUCUACCGUGGGCGCUGGAAAUUUGAGAGGAUCUGCUCCUAGUACGAGAGGACCAGAGUGGACGAACCUCUGGUGUACCGGUUGUGACGCCAGUCGCAUCGCCGGGUAGCUAUGUUCGGAAGGGAUAACCGCUGAAAGCAUCUAAGCGGGAAGCCUACCUCAAGAUAAGAUUUCCCUAGGACUUUAUGUCCUCUAAAGAGCCGUUCGAGACUAGGACGUUGAUAGGUUGGAUGUGGAAGCAUAGUGAUAUGUGAAGCUGACCAAUACUAAUUGCUCGUGAGGCUUGACUA